This 4175-nucleotide long non-coding RNA is filed under the name Sus scrofa (pig). RNAcentral describes it as "lncRNA (ENSSSCG00005008348.1)". The record is from RNAcentral. Lineage: Eukaryota; Metazoa; Chordata; Mammalia; Artiodactyla; Suidae.
UUUUUUUUUUUUUUUGGUCUUUUUGUCUCUUCUAGGGCCGCUCCCACGGCAUAUGGAGGUUCCCAGGCUAGGGGUCCAAUCGGAGCUGUAGCCGCCGGCCUAGGCCAGAGCCACAGCAACGCCAGAUCUGAGUCGCAUCUGCAACCCACACCACAACUCACGGCAACGCCAGAUCCUUCACCCACUGAGCAAGGCCAGGGAUCGAACCUGCAACCUCAUGGUUCCUAGUCGGAUUCGUUAACCACUGUGUGGAUGUAGCAAUGAAAGUUUUUAAUACUUUCUCCAAAAUGAGUCAUUCAGUUAUUUUUUUUUUUCUUUACAUAGAUUUUUUUAAAAACAUCACUGACAGUUUAACAUGGUUCCCUGUCGCAGGCUGUUUAUAGUAAAACAUCUGUAUAUGUAUGUUUGCAUGUUCCUCAAGCACUUGGCUUUUGCAAAUGGACCUAAAUGAGAAGGAUGGUGGAUUUCUAUUCAUAACCUCUGUUGUCAACUCACUUGAUUUUGUUUUUGUUCGUUUUUGUUUUUGUUUGUUUUUGUUUUCUUAGGGCCACACCUGCGGCAUUUGGAAGUUCCAUCCCUGACCUCAUUCAGUGGGUUAAGGAUCCGGCAUUGCCAUGAGUUGUGGUGUGGGUUGCAGAUGAGGCUGGGAUCCUGCAUUGCUGUGGCUGUGCUGUAGGCUGGCAGCCACAGCUCCAAUUCCACCCCUAGCCUGGGAACCUCCAUAUUCCACGGGUGUGGACCUAAAAAGCAAAAAAAAAAAAAAAGGAAGAAAGAAAAGAAAAAGGUCUGAAAUGUAGCCUCUCAACUGACCCUUCUAAGGAGUGUUUCAGAAAAAAAGGCCUAAGACUGAAGAUGCAGCCUAAUAAAAGCUGAACAUUUGAGGCAUGUGUCCGCACAUUUUAGCAAAGAAGUUCUGUUGAGUCAAACAACUUGGGUAGUUGAGGCUGUAUCUGAAUUUCUUUGGUUUUCCAGAUGACGGCCCGAAGUCUUAUUUCCCUUUUUCCUAACCAACCUUGUUGAGUUAAGGAUCCGGCGUUGCCGUGAGCUGUGGCGUAGGUCACAGAUGCGGCUCAUAUCUGUGUGGCUGUGGCUGUGGCUGGCAGCUGCAACUCCAGUUUGACCCCUAGCCCAGGAAUUUCUAUAUGCUGCAGGUGCAGCCCAAGAAGAAAAAGAAAAAGAAAACCAGCGAAAACCAGAUAAAUGUCUGUAUUGCCUAAUCUCCCCAAUAAAGCCCUGCUUUCCCCUCUCUCCCUCUCCCCCUCCUCUUCCUUGUGACCUGGUUCCAGCCACACUGUACAAAAGGGACCGGUGGCAAGCUCGUCUGCUCCCACCUUAGGCCUCUGGGCCAGAGUGUCCUCUGGCCAUGCUCAUCUUCCCCUGGUUUUUGCACAACUGUCCCUACUUCAGAUCUGUCAUUCAGAUGUCCGCUUAAACAUCACUCCCUGAGAGGGGCCUUUCCUAUCAUCUCAGUUCCGCAGGGCCCCUCACUCUGCUGCUUUGCCUUUUUAUUAGCCUCUCUCUGAUUCGUGUAUCCUCUGACGUCCUUCAUUAGAACGGGAAACUGGGGCCGGGUGCACUCACUCCGAAAUGUGUCGCGUGAACGUGAGGUGGUUUUCAGUAACCUGGUACGGCUACUUAGAGGGCACUCCCUGGAUGGCAGAGCUUGGUGUAGACAGGAAUGCAGAUGGAAUUGCCGGUAAACUCCUGCUUUUGAGCAGUGGUAGACUGAAAAAUGGGUGGUGAUUGUGUUUGCUUAAUGGUAGCAUGCUUUUUUUGGAUAGCUUUAACUUUAAAUAGAAUUCCCAAAAUAGAGAUAAGGGAUGGCUUUAAGAUUUUUGUUUUAAAGUCAAAUGCGCUGUAGAAGUUCAGGUGAGUUACGUAAGUCGGGGAAGGAACUAGGUCAGAGUGUAGGGCUCACACAUUUCCUAUUGAUUCUAGAAGGUGGGGGGGUGUUUGAUUGUAAAUUUUUGAGAGGUUAAUUCAGCUGGUAUUAACACUCAUUCAGUGCACUCAGAACUGUUCUGACCAAAGACCUGCCCUGUGCCUAGGAAUGUGCCCUGCCUCGUGAAGGCCUAGAAAGGACUGGGAAAAAAAGGGUCCCUGCCGGUGUGCUCCCCCCAAAGUCGAAACAGGAGAGCUCAGAGCUGGUGGCCCCAGAUCGUGAUGGGCUUCUCCUGAGCUCUGCAAACACAGCAAGCAUCUUGUCCUACCUGGAUUGAGUGCGUUUCUGAUGGAGGUUAGGAGACACCGCCCUCCCAGCCCCUUAGGCCCCGUCCCAGCGACUCUCCUCUGGUGGGAAGUCAAAGGCAGCUGAUGGAUGGAGGGUUCUCCUUAGCGCAAGGCGGUAUGUGAGAUUUUUAAAAAUAGCUGUGGAUUAUCGUUGGCAUUCAGAGCUUUAGAGAUUACGGUAGGCUGGUUUGGGUCAGGAGGGGCUCGAUGGGAUUUUGAAACAUGAGGGAACUGGCACCCAGGGGGCGCGGCUAACGCGUGCCAGCCCUUCCUCUCCACCGGGUCCCGUUUCCAGAUCAGGAGACCGAGGCUUAGGUGGCACAAGUUUCCCAGGGCUCCUCGGAGGACAGUCGCAGAGCCAAGCAGGCACCUCUGAGAAGGCGGGAGCCGCUCUGCGGGGGGAGGGUGGAGGCGUGGGAGCCCUGCCCGCGGUGGGGAAGGGCUGUGGCUUGUACCUGGAAGGGGCUGGAAAGGGUGCUGGUGAGGCCUCCAAGCACGCUCCCUCCUGUCCCCGCUCAGCCCUGGCGCGGCGGAACCACCUGCGGCCAGGCCGAGGGGACGGUCGCCGUCCUUCGUCACGCGUCUCGCCUGGAGCUGAUUUCCGUUUCUGCUCCCGCCUGUUUGGUCUGGACACGAGUGCAUGUGUAGGUCCGGGCGCGCGUGAUGGGAGCUCCUAGCCCCUGGGCACGUGCCGCCUCUUCAUUCUGCUGCACCUGCUUCGUGCCUGUGAGGCUAACCCCACCCCCUAAACGAGGGGGAGAUAGAACACUGGCCGUGAGGCCGCAGGCCCAUCAGGGCCUUAGACCCAGGUGGCCGUGCUCUGGGGGAGCUGUGACAAGGACCCCGUUCCCAGGGAUAGAUCCUAAGUUCACUUUCUUGGGAGCUGGACCGCUUCACGUGGAAAGACAGGUCGUUGCGGACUAAGCAGGUGCGUGUUAAGCUGAGGACGCUGGUUUCGAACAUCCUCUCGCGAAGCCGCGAGCUGGGCGGGGGCCCAGGGCUCCCGUGUUACCAGCACGGGGUGCCCUCUCGGGCCUCCUCUGCCAGACCCCAGCCAGGCAGGAGGCCUUUGUCCCAGGCUGAGUGUGAUGGUGUCACUCCGUGUGGACGGGGCCGUCCCGUGUCCCCCGGCUGAGCCCUGCGCGGGGGAGGGGACGCCCGGCAGGGAGUCCGGGGCUCUUCCCUGUGGAUCCGUUUUAUGUUCGUAUCCGUUUCAUGUGCCCUGUAAGUGAUAUUUAAAACAAAAGGCUAAAAAAUCACCGUCUGGCUGUUUCUUCACGUUGCAAAGGGAACAUAGGUCCCAGGGCAGGGCCGUUUUCCGUCUGAGCCUUCUUGCGUCGUUGCUGGAUGGCCUGGCAGGACUCUCGGAAGCACUGUGUGGUCGCAGAAGUGUCAUUUGCAGAGUGGUGGAGCGGUCAGCACUGCCCGACCCUGCUGUUAGCAGUUGUCAGGUGGUCCCGUGGGAGCGCCUGGCCUUUGAAGCAGACCUUCCCAGGCUGGUCCAAGGCCGCCUCAGCCCGUCCUUCCUGGGGCAGCCGAGGCACUCGCUCAGCCCCUGCGGCCUCUUGCCUGGCCGUGCAAUCCGAGGAUUGGCCAGGGCCAACUGGAUGAAAGAACCCGAGGGUCACCAUGUCCCAGCCCCGUGUCAGGGCCACAGGCUGCCUGACCAUCUGGAUUAAGUCCUCUUCCGGAGGUGCCUUGAGGCAGUUGCAUCUUUGGUGUUGGUUCCCGAAGAGGGCAUAGUGGUUAAAGAUGUUGGCAUUGGAGUUCCUGUUGCGGCUCAGCAGUAAUGAACCCAGCUAGUGUCCAUGAGGACACGGGUUCAAUCCCCAGACUCAUUCACUGGGUUAAGGAUCUGGCAUGGCUGUGGCUGUGGCUUCAGCCAGCAGCUGCAGCUCUGAUUCGACCCCUAGCCUGGAAACUUCCGUAUAUUGCAGGUGUGGCAC